CUGGGUUCAUGCACAGGGAUGACGUCACACACGGAAGCGCUUACCCUGUGUAGCUGGAAAUCAAAUGACACUUGAAUGACUUCUGUCUAACCCGUCCGAAUACAACAAAUGUCUCCAACGGAGGAGUUGGUCAAGCAGUGGGAAAGUGAGCAGGCCAUUCUCAGAGAGCAGGUGGUGGAGGAGGACACGGAAGACUGGCAGAAGAGCCCAGACUUCUCGGGGCUGGAACGGGUCGCUGGACUGGACCUCUCCUUCAUCAAAGGUGAUGACGUCAAUGCCUGCGCCCAGCUCGUCGUGCUCAGCUACCCUGUUCUUGAGGUGCUCUAUGAGGACAGUCAGAUGGUGACCCUAACAGCCCCCUACAUGGCAGGCUUUCUAGCCUUCAGAGAAACCCCUUUCCUCUUGGAUGCUCUGCAGCGGCUUGAAAGGGACAAGCCCACUCUUCUGCCUCAGGUGCUGUUUGUGGAUGGCAAUGGUCUCUUUCACUACAGAGAAUUUGGACUGGCAUGUCAUGUUGGAGUGCUGUCAGGGCUGCCAUGUGUGGGUGUUGCCAAGAACCUACUCCAGGUCCAGGGUGUGUUCAAAAAUGAAGAACACCAGUCUCAGAUUUCAGCACUGCAGAAAGGAGGAGACAACUUUCCACUCAUAGCAACCUCUGGUAAAGUGCUUGGAAAGGCACUGCGUAGCUCAGACAAGAGCACCAAGCCAGUCUAUGUGUCAGUUGGCCACAAGAUCAGUCUGGAUACUGCUGUGAAGCUCACACACUCUUGCAGCCGCUUCAGAGUCCCGGAGCCAAUCAGACAGGCUGACUAUCGCUCCAGAGAGUACCUCCGUGCUCACUUCCCUGCUGCAGAGACGGGAAUCACGGAAUGAGGGUCCGUUGAGAAAUGAAAAGACAGGGGGACAAGCUAUAACUUCUAUGUAAAGAGAAGCAAGUCAGCCAACGAAAGGGAGUGAUGCGGCAAGAUCUCAGGAACUUCAGCAAAGAUCAGCAACUUUGCUGUCUUCUGUGUGGGGGGGAAACCACUGUACCUGUGGAAAAACAACCAAUCAGAGACCGGGGACUUGACUUUCGAGGCGUCAAUCAUUUGUCGCACACUCGCAGGCAAACCCCCCGUGGCCUCGAACUGACCUGUGACCUUGCUACCGCAGAAAAGGACCAAAUUCGAAAUGGAGGGUUACAAUAACACUAAAUGUUAUCGGUUUGAAGUUGAAUUUUUUUGCGAGGCCUCUUGGGUGUGCCCGCAAUAAAUGAAUGAAAAUUGCUAACUCUCCUUUUUAUAUGUUAAUUAAGUCCAGAAUGUCUCGCUCACAGACCUAUUUUCAAAAACAGGCCAAGCACAAAACCUCACAAUUCAUUUCACACAUGGUGGGUGGGCGGGCACACCAGAGACCCAACUAUUUGUACACAAGCAAGUAAAAAGUAAAUCUUCCAUAAUGUGUCCCCUUUAAGAGUCUACAUUGUGGACAGAAGCAAUACUGAAAGUUUGAACUUAUGUUUGCUCCUGCUUAUCCCAAGCAUUUUCCUGAAAAGUUCACCUCGUGGCGUUUUUUGUAGUAUUUAGGAGCCAUCCAGAAGAAGAAAAAAUGCUGUUAACAGUUUAUUAUUUUGCAGUGGUUCCUGUUACUUACCCAUGGGUCUAAGCUGAAUUGUUGAUCAUAUCUGACAGCUUCUUACUGCAGUUUUGUCCUUUCUGGCAUCUACACUUACUUGAUUUUCUCAGCUCACUCUCAGAGGCCCAAAGCUGUUCACACUUGACUUACAGUACCUUUUGCAUUAUUUUCAGCCUGAAGAUUCUGACAGGGCAGCAAUUCUUUUUUUCCGAUGACAGCUCUUCCAUUUUGGAAAUCAUUAAUGCCUCCAAUCGGAUUUCUUCUUGUGAAAACUUUAAAAUCGGUUUGUAUUCUCUCCUAAUUGAGAAGUUCAAUGAACAGAAGUAUAUGUUGCAGCAAGUAUAUGUAUUUACUUGAAUUUAUUAUACUCAUUAUAAUCCUUCAAGGGGAAAUUCAAUUCACACUCUUUUUGUUCCAGCCACAGUGGUAUUGAGCAGCACAAUUACUUUUUAAUUGUUUGUAUACCAGUUUCUCUGCCCUUGACAAGAAAACUAGGCAGGGUAAAGAACCAGAGCCACUUUCAAGUGACAGCCAGACAACACUCUCCACAUCUCUACAAAGCCAAAAGUGCAUCAUGGGGGAUUACUGCUGCAAAGUGAUGCGUUCCUCUCUAUCUCAGAUAAUGAAAAUUCACUUCAAGGACAGGAUUAAGACCAGAAAUCAGCCUGAAGUCGUUGCAGAAAGGUUUGUGUAUUUUCUUUACCCACGUAUUGUAUAUCAUUGUGCGGACUGAUGUUUAAUAGGGCUUGCUCACAUCAGGCCAUUCGAACUGAGCUGGACUUGUCUGAUAUUCCCUCACCCUUUUCCGUCCCCGCUGGCCUACUUCAUUAUACAACACUGAAUUAUGUUUUUAUUUCUAUUGCGUGAGGUGGAAUUUACCAUGAAUCCCUGGCCAGAGGAGAGAUCAUGAUGGGUCAUGAGCCGGUCAUGGACCUUUUUUAAAAUUCUGAAUUAUUUCUAUUGUGCAUGGUGGUAUCGAUCAUGAAUAACUUGCAAGAAACAAUCACAAGACAGUAUGUAUAACAAGUCUAAAUUGCAGGCCCGUGCAUGUGCCCAUUCAAAAUCGAGCAUAUUUGUAGUGGUAGUAUUUCUUUAUAUUGUACAAGGUGGCAUUUAUCGCUCAUAAAUAGCAAAUAGCAAGGCAACAUUGCAGUACAGUAAUUGUAUGACAAGUCGACCUGCGUACCGAACUUGAGCUCACAUCUGUCCAUGGCACGGCACGGUUUGCCUAGUGUAAGUACCGGGUUGUAAGGGUAGACAAAAUUUUCUGCUGCUUUACCUUAAACCAACCACCAUCUUGGACUGCUACAUAAGGAACGCCAAUGGUGACCAAUGGCAAACUUUUGGGUUUGUGGUUACUCGAGAUGAAGCAGAUGAGGUGCGGCAAUACCUCGUGAAGGCAUCAGAGUUGAAACUAAAUAUUGGUCAAUGAUAAGGUACAAUAAAACAAUACAAUUAAAUUUGAUACAAAAUUGCACUAUUAUCUCAGUAGAGUACGAUCUCUUUAGGCCAUUGGCCAACGCAGUUGUACUCUUGUUAUUCUUUUGCAGUAAUACAACUGUGUUCUCUAUAUAUUGUACUUGGUCUUGCUCUUUUUAUUAUUACUGUUUUGCCCUGUAGUUUAGUGCCUCCAUUUAUCUCUAAACGUCUGUCUACAUUUUGAUGGCGGUAUGGCACUCCCGUUUUGAAAGAGCUGAUGGAAAUACACGUUCCAAGAUGUAUGCCCACCUCAUGAAACAUUUUGAAGAGAAAGCUUGGGUAGAGAGACAACUAUGUUGUCUGUCAAAGUGGUGCUGUCAUCCAACUUCAGACGCACAUUGUUCCAUUGUAGAUUGGGUAACUACACAUUAGAGAAAGUACCAGUAACAUGCACUGUUACAUUAAGUAUCACAAUUUUAUUACAAAAAUUAAAUUAUUCAUCUCUCAGGUUUGCCAUGCUUGGAGCAUAUAACAAUGCAGUAAAAAACCCACACCCAAAGAUAAUAAAGCAGAUUUCAACAAUGCUUUCAUAGCACUCUGUCAUUCAUGCUGUUACUAUACAGAUACUGUAACAUUCCUAAUACAGAGCAGUACAAAC
Molecule: RNA transcript, 3691 nt
Organism: Phyllopteryx taeniolatus (common seadragon)
Lineage: Eukaryota; Metazoa; Chordata; Actinopteri; Syngnathiformes; Syngnathidae
Gene name: endonuclease V-like
Exons: 12
Source: RefSeq, a predicted model, not a curated record